Podarcis lilfordi (Lilford's wall lizard) is the source of this 70-nucleotide non-coding RNA. The record is from the annotation of a GenBank genome assembly. NCBI's taxonomy places the organism in Eukaryota, Metazoa, Chordata, Lepidosauria, Squamata, Lacertidae.
GCUUUUUGUUCAGUUGGAAGAGCAUGAGACUUAAUAAUCUCAGGGUCAUGGGUUGGAGCCCCACGUUGCA